This 304-nucleotide ribosomal RNA is filed under the name uncultured bacterium. RNAcentral's name for it is "partial 16S ribosomal RNA". It matches the Rfam family "Bacterial small subunit ribosomal RNA", at positions 506 to 807 of the family's 1533-position model. The record is from RNAcentral.
CAGCAGCAGCCGCGGUAAUACAGAGGGUGCGAGCGUUAAUCGGAUUUACUGGGCGUAAAGCGUGCGUAGGCGGCUUCUUAAGUCGGAUGUGAAAUCCCUGAGCUUAACUUAGGAAUUGCAUUCGAUACUGGGAAGCUAGAGUAUGGGAGAGGAUGGUAGAAUUCCAGGUGUAGCGGUGAAAUGCGUAGAGAUCUGGAGGAAUACCGAUGGCGAAGGCAGCCAUCUGGCCUAAUACUGACGCUGAGGUACGAAAGCAUGUGGAGCAAACAGGAUUAGAUACCCCUGUAGUCCCUGUCUCUUAUAC